AGGUACCGUGAAAUGCUCCAACUUUGCCACCAGGUAAAUCUUUGCCCCAAACAUAAUUUCUAUGAAAAUCUACUAAUUUCACAAAAACUACCAAACUUACGACCACUUUAGUAAUAUUGGUAGAAAAUCGAAUAUGCAUUUGGCAACACAGAAUAUAACGUUCGCUCGUAACUUCACUCAGUUACCAGUCGAAACUUGUCGAACACGGAGUGUAUUUUUGUGGGCAAUUUCUGUGAAUAUUUGGAAGUUAAUUUGUGCAUUAUGGCGAAUACACCGAAAAACACACAUAAAUCACGCAUUAGACAAAGAAAGUCAAGACGAGAACUGGGAUCACGAAUGUACAAAAAUUAUUCUUACGAAAUGUUGAUGCUUGCGUGUGAAGCUGUUCAGUCAGGUCAAAUUUCAUCAAGAGAUGCUGAAAGACAAUUUGGAAUCCCAAGGCGUACUAUAGUUAAUAAAAUAAAACAAGUACAUUUGAAACCCGUUGGUCGCCCUACUGCUUUAACAACCAAAGAAGAAGAUCAAAUAGUUAAGGUUUUACAAGCUUCUAGCACCUUUGGCUCCCCGCUAACAAAAUUAGAUCUGAAGCUAUUGAUUCAUGAAUAUGUGAAGAAAAACUCAAGGGAUCAUAUUUUUAAGAAUAAAAUUCCUGGUGAUGCAUGGGUACAGAGCUUUUUGGUAAGACAUGCUAAUGAAUUGACUUUGAGAACUACCCAAAAUAUUUCAAAGGCGAGAGCUGAAAAGGGAUCUCAAGAAAUACUUAAUUAUUUCAAGAAUUUAAGUACAACAUUGAAAGAUGUACCAGCUGAAAACAUUGUCAAUUUCGACGAAACUAACCUUUCCGACGACCCAGGCUCUUCUAAGAGCAUUUUUAGAAGAGGGGUGAAAUACCCUGAAAGAAUAGUGAAUUCCACUAAAGGAAACAUAUCUCUGAUGUUUACAGCUACCGCUGCUGGUAGGUGCCUCCCUUUAUAUGUGGUUUAUAAAGCAACAAAUUUAUACUCUGAAUGGAUUAAUGGAGGACCGCCAGAAACCAGAUAUAAUUGUACUAAGUCAGGCUGGUUUGACAGCGCCAUGUUUGAGGAUUACUUUGAAACAAUAAUUAUUUCGUGGGCAAAAGAAACUGAGGGGGCAAAAGUUGUCAUUUGCGACAACCUAUCUAGCCAUUUCAGUGUCAAAGUAGUAGAGUUGUGCGCGCAACAUAAUAUUAAGUUUGUAUUCAUCCCUCCGAGGUCAACACAUCUUACACAACCACUAGACGUUGCUUUUUUUGCGCCUUUAAAAAAGUGCUGGCGUAAAAUUUUGUACCAGUACAAGCUCAAAAAUCCGACCCAAACUACGUUAAAUAAAAAACAUUUCCCGAAAUUGCUCAAUGAAUUAAUCGAAGUAAUUAAGAUAAAUGAAAAAAGGAACAUAAUAAGUGGCUUUAGGGCAUCAGGAAUAUUUCCAUUGAAUCCGCAAGAAGUUCUGAAAAAGAUCCCAGAAAUGCAAGAGGAAAUAAUAUCAUAUGGAAUCGAUCAAGUACUAGUGGAUUAUUUAACAGAGACCAGGGCGCAAAAGCCUAUGCAAGUACAGAGGAGUAAAAAAGUCAAUUGUGAGCCAGGCAAAUCGGUAAGCAUUUCUGAUAUAAAUGUUGGUACCUGCAAUAAGAAAGUAAAAAGGCAAUCCGUUAAAGUUUCUAGUGUUCAAAAAACAAACGAUGAAUCUUCCUAUUUAGACGAAAAAACUGGCUUUUAUGUACCAGGAAUUGUUGAUCUUUGUUCAGAAAUUAAUGAUAAUUAUGCUCAAGACUUGGAAAAUACUAUCAGUAUCCCCCAGUGGCAGGAUACAAAUAUUCCUGAAAGUCUUAGCAAACAAUGUAUUGAUGUAAUAAAUUCUUAUUUAAGCCAAUCAUUGCGUAUUGAAAUGACAACAUCGUCCUCUGACCUUUUUAAAGCUUCAAAUGAUACCACAAACACAUGUCCUGCUAAGAAAAGUAAAAUAACAAUUCUUUCGAAUAUUCGCAUAAAAUCUCCAACACCAGCAAAUGAUGUUUGUUUGUUAAAAAAUGCUACCACUAUGGCAGAGAAUAUGCCGUUUGUAGCUGCGUUUAAAACAGACUUGCCGAUAUGCCUACAAGACGGGAAGAAAAAUAAAUUAAAGAAAAAAAUAGAGAAGAUAAAAGAUAGAAACAAUAAGAAAAGUAAUAGUAACCAUGCAGUAAGAAAAAAUCGAAAGGGGAUAAAUUCAGUCCGAAGAUGUUCUUCAAUAAAAAGAAAACAUAAACAAUAUUCUGAUACUGAGUCAAGUUCUACAUCGAAAGAAUUUUUAACAGUUGAUACCGAUGAAGAAUACGAGACAAUAAAUGAUUUUUACAUAGCUGAAUUCCUCCAACAAGAGGAUAAAGAAAAUUUUGAGCCCCCACAAACGACUUCCUUUGGAUUACAUGACAUUGAAUAUUUUUCUGAAAAUCAAGAAAAAAUUAAAGAAAAUGAUUGGAUUAUUGCUAAGUUUGCUACAAAAAAGAGUUUGAAACAUUUUGUAGGUAAGGUUUUAUCGAUUAAUGGUGUAAAUCCUGUGGUAAAGUUUUUACGCAAGGUUAAAGAAUCUAAAUGUGAUACAGGAACGACUUUUUCUUAUCCAACAGUUGACGACAUUUGCACCAUUGAACAUUUAGAAGAUAUUGUAACAGUUUUACCCGAGCCAACAAUUACUCGACGCGGUCAGAUUAUAUUUCAUGUAGAUUUCAGUAAUUUUAACAUUCAAUGAAAAUUUACUUGCCGAACUUUUCUGAAUUAUUGUUUCUUAGAAUUCCAUUUUUCGAAAAUAAUUUCAUAAGUUGGUAAAAAUGUUAAUUAUAAUCCCGUAAACUUUAAUUGCAACUGAGUGAAAUACUGUUUUGAAAUAUUGUUUUGUUGAUUGUUUGACAGUUUCCAAUCUUAUUCAAUCAUAUAUAUAGAUAAAUAAAUAAUACAUAGAUUAUAAUGAUUGAUACUAGUAGGUAAAAUGAUAAUAAAUAUACCGUGAAAUUUUAAUGGUUGUUUUCCCGCAGCGAAAAAAUACAAAGCAAGUAGUCCAGUUGAUUAAUUUUUUUAUUAAUAUGACAAGAAGUUUGUUCUACGAAGUCGAAGAUUAUUUUGUCUUUAUAGUGCGAUUUGUUGGCCACUGUAAGAUAACUGUAUUUUUUUAAACUAAUAAAAUCUAUACAUGUGUAAUGAAUAAACUAUAUCUACACAAACAUAAUAAUAUAUAGAAAACAACUAUUAAAACACGGUAUGCAACUCAGUGCAUUGAUUAGUUGCUAAAAAAAUAAGUUAAAUUACUGAAGUGAUUUGUUAAAGACUGUGUUCUCCAAAGAAUAUUUUAGUAUGUAGAUUGAAAAAGUGAGAAUUUAUACCAUUCCUCGCGUUAUAUUCGGGGAAAGAUAAUUAUCUAGUUGAAACAUUAUUAGGUUUACAUUUUAUAAUUAAUAAUAAAAAUGUUAAUAGGAGUGUUGACAAUUUUUUUAAAGUAUAAUUUUGAUGUUUAUGUAAAGAAGCGUUAAAAACAAUUUUAAGAAUUCUAGAAAAAUUAAAUAAAAUCUUCUCAUAAUGCCAGAGAUAUUAGCGUCCAAAAUUCGAGGAGAUAUCGCUAUCCUCUUCUCGCUCGAAGUUUGACGGUAUUGACGCCACGGCAAAAUAAUGCCUUCAUUUUUCAUUAUUUUUUUACAUUUGAUAUUUUUUAUUUGGUUCAUUUCCGUGCGAUCUAUUUCAUGAAAAGUGUAACUAUCUGCAAUAGGUAGAUAUACUUUUUGUGAAAUAGAUUUCUUGAUAGAGACUUUGAGCUUGUGAGGUUAAAGACUAAUUAUUUUUAUGUUUUUUUUUUUAGUUACUUACGAAUAGGUAUUUAAUUUUGUUUUGUUUAGUUAUCAGAUUUCUUUAGUUGAUUUAAAAAUCUCAAACACAAUUACGAGUACUUACGAUUGAUUUGACUUAAUAAACCACUUUGUACCUAAAA
Helicoverpa armigera (cotton bollworm) is the source of this 3975-nucleotide long non-coding RNA. RefSeq lists it as uncharacterized. The transcript is spliced from 2 exons. Lineage: Eukaryota; Metazoa; Arthropoda; Insecta; Lepidoptera; Noctuidae. The record is from RefSeq and is a predicted model, not a curated record.